AUUGAACGCUGGCGGCAGGCCUAACACAUGCAAGUCGAGCGGUAGAGCGAAGCUUGCUUCCCUUUAGAGCGGCGGACGGGUGAGUAAUGCCUAGGAAUCUGCCUGGUAGAUGGGGAUAACGUUCGUUCACGGACGCUAAUACCGCAUACGUCCUACUGUAGAAAGCAGUGGACCAUCGGGCCAUGCGCUAUCAGAUGUGCCUAGGUCGGAUUAGCUAGUUGGUGGGGUAAUGGCUCACCAAGGCGACGAUCCGUAACUGGUCUGAGAGGCUGAUCAGUCACACUGGAACUGAGACACGGUCCAGACUCCUACGGGAGGCAGCAGUGGGGAAUAUUGGACAAUGGGCGAAAGCCUGAUCCAGCCACGCCGCGUGUGUGAAGAAGGUCUUCGGAUUGUAAAGCACUUUAAGUUGGGAGGAAGGGCAGUAAAUGAAUACUUUGCUGUUUUGACGUUACCGACAGAAUAAGCACCGGCUAACUCUGUG
RNAcentral lists this ribosomal RNA (484 nucleotides) under uncultured bacterium. Its description in RNAcentral is "partial 16S ribosomal RNA". It matches the Rfam family "Bacterial small subunit ribosomal RNA", at positions 30 to 507 of the family's 1533-position model. The record is from RNAcentral.